RNAcentral lists this ribosomal RNA (253 nucleotides) under uncultured bacterium. RNAcentral describes it as "partial 16S ribosomal RNA". It matches the Rfam family "Bacterial small subunit ribosomal RNA", at positions 524 to 776 of the family's 1533-position model. The record is from RNAcentral.
UACGUAGGGGGCAAGCGUUGUCCGGAUUUAUUGGGCGUAAAGAGCGUGUAGGCGGCCUGGGAGGUCCGUUGUGAAAACUCGAGGCUCAACCUCGAGACGCCGAUGGAAACCCCCUGGCUAGAGUCCGGAAGAGGAGAGUGGAAUUCCUGGUGUAGCGGUGAAAUGCGCAGAUAUCAGGAAGAACACCCGUGGCUAAGGCGGCUCUCUAGUACGGUACUGACGCUGAGACGCGAAAGCGUGGGGAGCGAACAGG